GGUUAAGCGACUAAGCGUACACGGUGGAUGCCCUGGCAGUCAGAGGCGAUGAAGGACGUGCUAAUCUGCGAUAAGCGUCGGUAAGGUGAUAUGAACCGUUAUAACCGGCGAUUUCCGAAUGGGGAAACCCAGUGUGAUUCGUCACACUAUCAUUAACUGAAUCCAUAGGUUAAUGAGGCGAACCGGGGGAACUGAAACAUCUAAGUACCCCGAGGAAAAGAAAUCAACCGAGAUUCCCCCAGUAGCGGCGAGCGAACGGGGAGCAGCCCAGAGCCUGAAUCAGUGUGUGUGUUAGUGGAAGCGUCUGGAAAGGCGCGCGAUACAGGGUGACAGCCCCGUACACAAAAAUGCACAUACUGUGAGCUCGAUGAGUAGGGCGGGACACGUGGUAUCCUGUCUGAAUAUGGGGGGACCAUCCUCCAAGGCUAAAUACUCCUGACUGACCGAUAGUGAACCAGUACCGUGAGGGAAAGGCGAAAAGAACCCCGGCGAGGGGAGUGAAAAAGAACCUGAAACCGUGUACGUACAAGCAGUGGGAGCACAGAGCAAUCUGUGUGACUGCGUACCUUUUGUAUAAUGGGUCAGCGACUUAUAUUCUGUAGCAAGGUUAACCGAAUAGGGGAGCCGAAGGGAAACCGAGUCUUAACUGGGCGUUAAGUUGCAGGGUAUAGACCCGAAACCCGGUGAUCUAGCCAUGGGCAGGUUGAAGGUUGGGUAACACUAACUGGAGGACCGAACCGACUAAUGUUGAAAAAUUAGCGGAUGACUUGUGGCUGGGGGUGAAAGGCCAAUCAAACCGGGAGAUAGCUGGUUCUCCCCGAAAGCUAUUUAGGUAGCGCCUCGUGAAUUCAUCUCCGGGGGUAGAGCACUGUUUCGGCAAGGGGGUCAUCCCGACUUACCAACCCGAUGCAAACUGCGAAUACCGGAGAAUGUUAUCACGGGAGACACACGGCGGGUGCUAACGUCCGUCGUGAAGAGGGAAACAACCCAGACCGCCAGCUAAGGUCCCAAAGUCAUGGUUAAGUGGGAAACGAUGUGGGAAGGCCCAGACAGCCAGGAUGUUGGCUUAGAAGCAGCCAUCAUUUAAAGAAAGCGUAAUAGCUCACUGGUCGAGUCGGCCUGCGCGGAAGAUGUAACGGGGCUAAACCAUGCACCGAAGCUGCGGCAGCGACACUAUGUGUUGUUGGGUAGGGGAGCGUUCUGUAAGCCUGUGAAGGUGUACUGUGAGGUAUGCUGGAGGUAUCAGAAGUGCGAAUGCUGACAUAAGUAACGAUAAAGCGGGUGAAAAGCCCGCUCGCCGGAAGACCAAGGGUUCCUGUCCAACGUUAAUCGGGGCAGGGUGAGUCGACCCCUAAGGCGAGGCCGAAAGGCGUAGUCGAUGGGAAACAGGUUAAUAUUCCUGUACUUGGUGUUACUGCGAAGGGGGGACGGAGAAGGCUAUGUUGGCCGGGCGACGGUUGUCCCGGUUUAAGCGUGUAGGCUGGUUUUCCAGGCAAAUCCGGAAAAUCAAGGCUGAGGCGUGAUGACGAGGCACUACGGUGCUGAAGCAACAAAUGCCCUGCUUCCAGGAAAAGCCUCUAAGCAUCAGGUAACAUCAAAUCGUACCCCAAACCGACACAGGUGGUCAGGUAGAGAAUACCAAGGCGCUUGAGAGAACUCGGGUGAAGGAACUAGGCAAAAUGGUGCCGUAACUUCGGGAGAAGGCACGCUGAUAUGUAGGUGAAGUCCCUCGCGGAUGGAGCUGAAAUCAGUCGAAGAUACCAGCUGGCUGCAACUGUUUAUUAAAAACACAGCACUGUGCAAACACGAAAGUGGACGUAUACGGUGUGACGCCUGCCCGGUGCCGGAAGGUUAAUUGAUGGGGUCAGCGCAAGCGAAGCUCUUGAUCGAAGCCCCGGUAAACGGCGGCCGUAACUAUAACGGUCCUAAGGUAGCGAAAUUCCUUGUCGGGUAAGUUCCGACCUGCACGAAUGGCGUAAUGAUGGCCAGGCUGUCUCCACCCGAGACUCAGUGAAAUUGAACUCGCUGUGAAGAUGCAGUGUACCCGCGGCAAGACGGAAAGACCCCGUGAACCUUUACUAUAGCUUGACACUGAACAUUGAGCCUUGAUGUGUAGGAUAGGUGGGAGGCUUUGAAGUGUGGACGCCAGUCUGCAUGGAGCCGACCUUGAAAUACCACCCUUUAAUGUUUGAUGUUCUAACGUUGACCCGUGAUCCGGGUUGCGGACAGUGUCUGGUGGGUAGUUUGACUGGGGCGGUCUCCUCCUAAAGAGUAACGGAGGAGCACGAAGGUUGGCUAAUCCUGGUCGGACAUCAGGAGGUUAGUGCAAUGGCAUAAGCCAGCUUGACUGCGAGCGUGACGGCGCGAGCAGGUGCGAAAGCAGGUCAUAGUGAUCCGGUGGUUCUGAAUGGAAGGGCCAUCGCUCAACGGAUAAAAGGUACUCCGGGGAUAACAGGCUGAUACCGCCCAAGAGUUCAUAUCGACGGCGGUGUUUGGCACCUCGAUGUCGGCUCAUCACAUCCUGGGGCUGAAGUAGGUCCCAAGGGUAUGGCUGUUCGCCAUUUAAAGUGGUACGCGAGCUGGGUUUAGAACGUCGUGAGACAGUUCGGUCCCUAUCUGCCGUGGGCGCUGGAGAACUGAGGGGGGCUGCUCCUAGUACGAGAGGACCGGAGUGGACGCAUCACUGGUGUUCGGGUUGUCAUGCCAAUGGCACUGCCCGGUAGCUAAAUGCGGAAGAGAUAAGUGCUGAAAGCAUCUAAGCACGAAACUUGCCCCGAGAUGAGUUCUCCCUGACUCCUUGAGAGUCCUGAAGGAACGUUGAAGACGACGACGUUGAUAGGCCGGGUGUGUAAGCGCAGCGAUGCGUUGAGCUAACCGGUACUAAUGAACCGUGAGGCUUAACCUU
This 2905-nucleotide ribosomal RNA is filed under the name Escherichia coli. RNAcentral describes it as "23S ribosomal RNA". It matches the Rfam family "Bacterial large subunit ribosomal RNA". The record is from RNAcentral. Lineage: Bacteria; Pseudomonadati; Pseudomonadota; Gammaproteobacteria; Enterobacterales; Enterobacteriaceae.